Molecule: ribosomal RNA, 497 nt
Filed under: uncultured Glomeromycotina
Lineage: Eukaryota; Fungi; Glomeromycota
Description: partial small subunit ribosomal RNA
Rfam family: Eukaryotic small subunit ribosomal RNA
Source: RNAcentral
CCAAUAGCGUAUAUUAAAGUUGCUGCAGUUAAAAAGCUCGUAGUUGAAUUUCGGGAUCGAUUUGCUGGUCGUGCCUAUGGUACGUACUGGUCUUGUUGGUUCCUCCUUUCCGAGGAGCCUCGAUGUCAUUAAUUUGGUGUCGCGGGGAAUCGGGACUGUUACUUUGAAAAAAUUAGAGUGUUUAAAGCAAGCUAACGCUUGAAUACAUUAGCAUGGAAUAAUGAAAUAGGUCGAUUGAUCCUAUUUUGUUGGUUUAUAGGAUUGACGUAAUGAUUAAUAGGGACAGUUGGGGGAAUUAGUAUUCAAUUGUUAGAAGUGAAAUUCUUGGAUUUAUUGAAGACUAACUACUGCGAAAGCAUUUGCCAAGGAUGUUUUCAUUAAUCAAGAACGAAAGUUAGGGGAUCGAAGACGAUCAGAUACCGUCGUAGUCUUAACCAUAAACUAUGCCGACUAGGGAUCGGACGAAAAUUUUUUAAUAAAUCAUUCGGCGCCUUACG